Non-coding RNA from Schistosoma rodhaini, 46 nucleotides. Lineage: Eukaryota; Metazoa; Platyhelminthes; Trematoda; Strigeidida; Schistosomatidae. The record is from Rfam.
AUCCAUUUGACGAGUCCCAAAGUAGGACGAAACGCGUGUCCUGGAU